Molecule: ribosomal RNA, 433 nt
Filed under: uncultured bacterium
Lineage: Bacteria
Description: partial 16S ribosomal RNA
Rfam family: Bacterial small subunit ribosomal RNA
Source: RNAcentral
AACGAACGCUGGCGGCAGGCCUAACACAUGCAAGUCGAGCGGGAACUUCCGGCUUUCCGGCGGUGGCGGGUGGGAGACGGGGGGAGGUGCACGUUUCUAUUCGAUACUCCUCUGAGAGAGGGGGUCAUAUAGGGGGAGCGCCUUUCGGGGAAGAUGUUUCGUCGUAGGGUCGGCCCGCGAUGGUUUAGGUAGUUGGGGGGGUAAUGGCCGACCACGGGGUCGAUCCUUAGCUGGUGUGAGAGGAUGAUCAGCCACACUUGGACUGAGACACGGCCCAGAAUACUACGGGAGGGAGCAGUGGGGAAUCUUGGACAAUGGGGGCAAGCCUGAUCUAGCCAUGCCGCGUGAGCGAUGAAGGCCUUAGGGUUGUAAAGCUCUUUUAGCCGGGACGAUAAUGACGGUACCAGAAGAAGAAGCCCCGGCUAACUUCGUG